Gallus gallus (chicken) is the source of this 1077-nucleotide long non-coding RNA. The record is from Ensembl. NCBI's taxonomy places the organism in Eukaryota, Metazoa, Chordata, Aves, Galliformes, Phasianidae.
AGCACUGGUGAGGCGCUAACUGCAUUCAGAAGACACCACUGCUGUUACAAAGGUGCCGCGUUUCUGGAGCUGCUGGUUGCCUACCUUGGUGCAGUUUCUGAGCGUGCUGCUAGCGGUUUCCAGUGGCUGCCUGCCAACGCCGAUCAGGUGCGAUUAUCCAGAGUCCUGCAGCAGAGCAGGUGGGAUGGCACCUCUCCAAUUUCUGAGCCAACAAAGGGCAAAGACUGACAUCAGGAAGAACUCUGGGACUUUUCUGAUCCUCGGCAAAGGUUCAGGCAAGGCUGCUUUGUUAACAAACUGUUUGAUCCCUAAGGUCCAUGUAGCACGCUUUGGUGAAUGCUCUUCUCUUGCAGCUCUCCCAUGUAGUUGCUACCAUGCCCACUGGGAUCCCAGGCAGCCAGCCUGGCACUAGAACACAAGCAGGAUUAUGCUUCUCUUGUAGCUUGAGGAAGGGCAACACGCACACCCUCUGAGUCUUAAGCAAACCAUGAGUAUUUCCAUAGUCUCCAGUAUCUAUAGCAAUAGUGUACUCUCUAUCACCUCUUGUUCUUUUGCACUAGCAUCUCUAACGUCUCUCUAAGAAAUGUUGCUGGUGAAAAAGCACAAGCUUGGUUUGUGAGGUAGCCAAAGAUUGUUUUGAUAUCACAACUUGCCACUUUGUGCAAUUUCAACUUAUUUUAUUAUGCUAUGGAAACCAUUACUGAUUCUCCUCCUGCCCUCCUAUGCUUUGAAGAUCAUAGCAUCAUAGAAUCAUUUGAGCUGGGAAGAGGCCUUUAAAGGUCAUCUAGUCCAACUCUCCUGCAAUGAACAGGGAAAUCUCCAGCUAGAUCAGGUGCUCAGAGCCCAGUCCAGCCCCACCUUGAAGACACCCUUUGACUCUGAAUCUGCCUUUGGUCUUUGACUGGAACUCCUGUUCACCAGGAGCAACAUGCUGAGGUCAUUAGGCUGUCCUGAGUCAUGUGGACUGACAGCAGAUGUCCCAGUCCCAUGGGGGAGGGCUGGUCUGAGGCAAAAAUUCCUGCUGAGAUAAGUCUUUCUGCUCUAAAUAAAUAAGCCUAUGAUGAGCCAGUAUCUUCU